AAAUUGAAGAGUUUGAUCAUGGCUCAGAUUGAACGCUGGCGGCAGGCCUAACACAUGCAAGUCGAACGGUAACAGGAAUCAGCUUGCUGUUUCGCUGACGAGUGGCGGACGGGUGAGUAAUGUCUGGGAAACUGCCUGAUGGAGGGGGAUAACUACUGGAAACGGUAGCUAAUACCGCAUAAUGUCGCAAGACCAAAGAGGGGGACCUUCGGGCCUCUUGCCAUCGGAUGUGCCCAGAUGGGAUUAGCUAGUAGGUGGGGUAACGGCUCACCUAGGCGACGAUCCCUAGCUGGUCUGAGAGGAUGACCAGCCACACUGGAACUGAGACACGGUCCAGACUCCUACGGGAGGCAGCAGUGGGGAAUAUUGCACAAUGGGCGCAAGCCUGAUGCAGCCAUGCCGCGUGUAUGAAGAAGGCCUUCGGGUUGUAAAGUACUUUCAGCGGGGAGGAAGGGAGUAAAGUUAAUACCUUUACUCAUUGACGUUACCCGCAGAAGAAGCACCGGCUAACUCCGUGCCAGCAGCCGCGGUAAUACGGAGGGUGCAAGCGUUAAUCGGAAUUACUGGGCGUAAAGCGCACGCAGGCGGUUUGUUAAGUCAGAUGUGAAAUCCCCGGGCUCAACCUGGGAACUGCAUCUGAUACUGGCAAGCUUGAGUCUCGUAGAGGGGGGUAGAAUUCCAGGUGUAGCGGUGAAAUGCGUAGAGAUCUGGAGGAAUACCGGUGGCGAAGGCGGCCCCCUGGACGAAGACUGACGCUCAGGUGCGAAAGCGUGGGGAGCAAACAGGAUUAGAUACCCUGGUAGUCCACGCCGUAAACGAUGUCGACUUGGAGGUUGUGCCCUUGAGGCGUGGCUUCCGGAGCUAACGCGUUAAGUCGACCGCCUGGGGAGUACGGCCGCAAGGUUAAAACUCAAAUGAAUUGACGGGGGCCCGCACAAGCGGUGGAGCAUGUGGUUUAAUUCGAUGCAACGCGAAGAACCUUACCUGGUCUUGACAUCCACGGAAGUUUUCAGAGAUGAGAAUGUGCCUUCGGGAACCGUGAGACAGGUGCUGCAUGGCUGUCGUCAGCUCGUGUUGUGAAAUGUUGGGUUAAGUCCCGCAACGAGCGCAACCCUUAUCCUUUGUUGCCAGCGGUCCGGCCGGGAACUCAAAGGAGAC
This 1158-nucleotide ribosomal RNA is filed under the name Escherichia coli. RNAcentral describes it as "bacterial SSU rRNA". It matches the Rfam family "Bacterial small subunit ribosomal RNA", at positions 1 to 1149 of the family's 1533-position model. Lineage: Bacteria; Pseudomonadati; Pseudomonadota; Gammaproteobacteria; Enterobacterales; Enterobacteriaceae. The record is from RNAcentral.